GCAACGCAAGACUGCCACUUCGUCAGAAGUUCGGUCACGGCUUCGCUUGCAGUGUCUCUCCACCAGGGGGCGAAGCCCGGGGGAGGCUCAACACAACCCCUCCGCUCCGCUUCUCCUCGUACCAUCAGCUGAAUCUGUCCGGGACAGACCAGGGAAGAUGGCGGCCACUGACCAUUCCCGGUCCGAAGCUGCCAAACAGCGACGGCAGGAUCAGCUGCAGCGAUGGCUGGGUUCGGAGACGGAUCAGACGGGGUCGGAGGCCCGGGAAAUGUCGAGCGGUUCCGGGACGCGGCGGGCGAGAGUCCGGUUCGCCCAAGGAGCUGUGUUUAUGGCCGCCUGCUCCGCCGGAGACCGGGAGGAGGUGGCGGCGCUGCUCCGGCAGGGAGCUGACAUCAACCACGCCAACAUAGACGGACUGACAGCGCUUCAUCAGGCCUGCAUCGACGAAAACGCUGAGAUGGUGCAGUUUCUGGUGGAGAACGGGAGCGAUGUCAACACGGGGGACAACGAGGGCUGGACUCCUCUGCACGCUGCAGCCUCCUGCGGCUUCAUCCAGAUCGUUAAGUACCUGAUAGAGCACAACGCUCAAGUCGGGGCAGUGAACAGUGAAGGAGAGCUUCCUCUGGAUGUGGCCACUGAAGACCAAAUGGAGCGACUGCUCAAAGCUGAAAUCAAAAAACAAGGAAUAGACGUGGACAAGGCCCGAAAGGAGGAGGAGAGGAUCAUGCUUCAGGACGCCAUGGCAGUGCUGGCAGGAAGUGGCACUCUCACACCUCACCCAAACACCAAGGCGACAGCUCUGCACGUCGCCGCUGCCAAGGGCUACAUCGAAGUCCUGAAGGUGCUCUUGCAAUGUGGGGUUGAUGUGGACAGCAGGGACAUCGAUGGGUGGACGUCCCUGCACGCAGCAGCUCACUGGGGGCAAGAAGAAGUGUGCACCCUGCUUGCUGACAACAUGUGCGACAUGGGUGCCGUCAACAACGUGGGCCAAACACCUCUAGAUGUUGCAGAUGAGAACCUAGUGGACACUCUGGAGGAGCUACAGAAGAAACAGAACGCUCUACGCACCGAGAAGGAGAAACAGACUCCUGUUAUUGAGACCAGCCCGCAAAUUUCCAUGGUACCGGUUCGCACACGCAGGACUUCUAUCUCUCGUAUGAGCAGUAAGGAGAAAAUCUGCCUUCAUGAGCGGGAGAAGCAUCCGCCUCCUGCCCUGCAGAGCAGCCCGGCUGAGGACGAGGAGGAGGAAGGCCAGACGGCGCAGAGCCAGUCUCAAAGCCAGGCGAAAGCCUCCAGCAGCUCCAGCUCUGAGGAGGAGAGUGAAUCUGAGAGUGACGCGGAGUCUGAGAAAGCAAAAAACCGAGAGAUCAUAAACAACUUGAACAACAAACGCAACACCACCAGCCUCCUUCCUACCUCCAUGUCAACGAGUACUGCUACAAGCCAAGCUAAAAAGCAAGAAUCAAGCAAGCCCCCAGCAACCGAGGCCCCGGGCUCCUGGAGAACGUCUCUGAGGAAGGCAGGCAGCUCAGUGACUCUGGGCUCAGCUGGACUGACUGACUCCAGCCAGGACUCCAGCAGGCCACCAGAGCCCGGUCUAGGCAUGACCCGCUCUGCCUCCAGCCCCCGCCUCAGCACCGAGGCUGACACUAAGGAGCCAAGGCUCGCUCGGGUGCCGCCUAUUCCAACACGGAGACUCUUCAGUAUUCCAGACAGCAGCCCUGACAACUCCAACAGUUGGCUAAGCCGUAGCUCCUCUUACACCCGGCGCCUUCAUAGUCAAUCAGGGAAUGAUCUCACUAGUUCCAACCCUUAUUUGCCUCACAGCUCAUCUUAUGGAAAGAGACUGGAUGACCCCACCAUGACCUCAGCUAGCACAGGAACGAGCUCUACUGGACUCAGCCGCCUUAAUAGUGUCUUGGCCCAGAGACUUCCUCAGGAACAGACAGAGAAGAAGGACCAGUCUGCCGUCCCCACCUCCAACUCUCAGAACACGACUACAGGCGAACCGGAGACCAAGCAGAGACGCAAGUCCUAUCUGACACCUGUGCGAGAUGAGGAGGCAGAGGCACAAAGGAAAGCUCGCUCCCGGCACGCACGGCAGUCUCGUCGCUCCACUCAGGGGGUGACACUAACAGAUCUUCAGGAGGCUGAGAAGACCAUGAAUACCAUGAAGAUGGAGAACAAAGGGAGAGAAAAGGAGGAGGAAGAGAAGGAAAAAGAGAAGGAAGCAAAACCUAAGAAGGGAGAGGAAGGGGAAGUGAGCUGGAGGUCUCGUAUUGCCAGUCUGCAGAAGUCAGACCUGCUGGGCCUCACGCAGCCCGCUGGCACCCCGCGGACUCAGACCUCUGACAGGAAAGAUGUUGAGGCCAGCACAGGGGAGAGUGAGACAGAGCGAUGGGCCCGGGAGCGCAGGGAGAGGAGACAAGCUCGGGCCAGAAGAAAGGCACAGAGGACCGGGGAGAGUGAUGACAAUGAUCCCAGUGGAGAGGAAGAGUUCUCAGGCAGCAGGCUGGAUCCACAGUCAGACCAGCACUUGAGAUCCAGGUCGCACAUAUCCUGUAACGACCGUACCCAAGGAGGAGGCUCCGAAACCAAGGACUUUAAGAAGUUGUUUGAGGAGGUGUCCAGAGAAAACAGCCAGCUCCAGUCUCAGCUGCAGGACACUCAGAGGAUUGUCAAUCAGACCAGGUUGGACCUGGAAAAGGCCACACAGAGACAGGAGCGCUUCAGUGACUGCUCAGCCCUGCUGGACCUGGAGAGAAAGGACCGGAGGAUGUUGGAGCGGCGUAUGGCAGAGCUGGAGGAGGAGCUGAAGGCUUUUUAAACAUCAGUGUGUCCCAUGGAAGAUUAAAAAUGACACGUUUUACAUUGAACUACACCUACACCAACUUAGAAGCUAGAUAUCCUCAUUCCUGUGGCUCUGUAGAAGGAAGUCCUCAACUCUCAGCAGAAUAAUGGUUCCUGCAGCAUUUCGUGACCAAAGUUAUGAGCAGCAAAAGAUCACUGUCAAAAACUUGCCAACUGAAAAUUGACCCAGCUGUCUUUCACAUGACAUGAAUUCAGUGUCCUACUUCCUCUUUUAUGCUGUUAACCCAGAACAGCCUUAAUGCAUUUGUAUUAAUAAACCUCUUAAUAGUUAAA
RNA transcript from Thunnus maccoyii (southern bluefin tuna), 3144 nucleotides. It is a transcript of the gene named protein phosphatase 1 regulatory subunit 12A, with no coding region annotated. Lineage: Eukaryota; Metazoa; Chordata; Actinopteri; Scombriformes; Scombridae. The transcript has 26 exons. The record is from RefSeq and is a predicted model, not a curated record.